UACCCAAUGAAAACAGUUUCGAGGUAGUGACGAGAAAUAACAAUACAGGGCAUUUUUUGUUCUGUAAUUGGAAUGAUGGGAAUGUAAAACCCUUUCAGAUUAACAAUUGGAGGGCAAGUCUGGUGCCAGCAGCCGCGGUAAUUCCAGCUCCAAUAGUGUAUAUUAGAGUUGUUGCAGUUAAAAAGCUCGUAGUUGGAUUUCUGUCGUGGUCAUCCGGUUCCGCCUGUAUGGGUGUGCGCCUGGUUUGCCCUCGGCUUUCUUCCGUUAGCCUUCGGCGCUUCACUGCGUCUGUUGGUGUUUCGGAACUUUUACUUUGAGAAAAAUAGAGUGUUUCAAGCAGGCUUGUCGCCCUGAAUACUUCAGCAUGGAAUAAUAAGAUAGGACCUUGGUUCUAUUUUGUUGGUUUCUAGGACUAAGGUAAUGAUUAAUAGGGACAGUUGGGGGCAUUCGUAUUUAACUGUCAGAGGUGAAAUUCUUAGAUUUGUUAAAGACGAACUACUGCGAAAGCAUUUGCCAAGGAUGUUUUCAUUAAUCAAGAACGACAGUAGGGGGUUUGAAGACG
RNAcentral lists this ribosomal RNA (562 nucleotides) under Eimeria krijgsmanni. RNAcentral describes it as "SSU rRNA". It matches the Rfam family "Eukaryotic small subunit ribosomal RNA", at positions 442 to 1006 of the family's 1831-position model. Lineage: Eukaryota; Apicomplexa; Conoidasida; Eucoccidiorida; Eimeriidae. The record is from RNAcentral.